ACGGGAGGCAGCAGUGGGGAAUAUUGCACAAUGGGCGAAAGCCUGAUGCAGCGACGCCGCGUGAAUGAAGAAGUAUUUCGGUAUGUAAAGUUCUAUCAGCAGGGAAGAUAAUGACGGUACCUGACUAGGAAGCACCGGCUAAAUACGUGCCAGCAGCCGCGGUAAUACGUAUGGUGCAAGCGUUAUCCGGAUUUACUGGGUGUAAAGGGAGCGCAGGCGGCCUAGCAAGUCUGAAGUGAAAUCCCGGGGCUCAACCCCGGAACUGCUUUGGAAACUGUUAGGCUAGAGUGUCGGAGGGGUAAGCGGAAUUCCUAGUGUAGCGGUGAAAUGCGUAGAUAUUAGGAGGAACACCAGUGGCGAAGGCGGCUUACUGGACGAUAACUGACGCUGAGGCUCGAAAGCGUGGGGAGCAAACAGGAUUAGAUACCCUGGUA
RNAcentral lists this ribosomal RNA (434 nucleotides) under uncultured Lachnospiraceae bacterium. RNAcentral describes it as "partial 16S ribosomal RNA". It matches the Rfam family "Bacterial small subunit ribosomal RNA", at positions 341 to 792 of the family's 1533-position model. Lineage: Bacteria; Bacillati; Bacillota; Clostridia; Lachnospirales; Lachnospiraceae. The record is from RNAcentral.